CCCCUAGACGUUCUGGGCUGCACGCGCGCUACAAUAAUACGCACAGCGAGUAUCACCGAGCUCGAAAGGGCAAGGUAAACAAUAGAAAAGGUACUGUAAUGGUUAUAGAUCCUUGUAAUUAUUGAUCUUCAACGAGGAAUUCCUAGUAAGUAUGUGUCAUCAUCACGCACUGAUUACGUCCCAGCCCUUUGUACACACCGCCCGUCGCUCCUACCGAUUGAGUGAGCCGAUGAAACUGCCGGAUGUGGACUAUUCAUAGUCUGCAGAAGAUAUUUGAAUCGUAGCGCUUAGAGGAAGGAGAAGUCGUAACA
Molecule: ribosomal RNA, 311 nt
Filed under: uncultured eukaryote
Lineage: Eukaryota
Description: partial 18S ribosomal RNA
Rfam family: Eukaryotic small subunit ribosomal RNA
Source: RNAcentral